Ictidomys tridecemlineatus (thirteen-lined ground squirrel) is the source of this 101-nucleotide non-coding RNA. The record is from Rfam. NCBI's taxonomy places the organism in Eukaryota, Metazoa, Chordata, Mammalia, Rodentia, Sciuridae.
AUCUUGUGGUUCAUAGAUAUCAUGAGUAGGUUUCCAUGUCAUCCUAUGAGAUGUGCCUAAUUCAAACCUUGUUACACUAUCAGCUCAUUACCCACCUGAUG